GGAUCUCUUAAAGCUGUUCUCAGUUCGGACUGCAGUCUGCAACUCGACUGCACGAAGCUGGAAUCGCUAGUAAUCGCGGACCAGCACGCCGCGGUAAAUACGUUCCCGGGCCUUGUACACACCGCCCGUCACACCAUGGAAGUCUGCAAUGCCCGAAGCCGGUGGCCUAACCACUUAUGUGGAAGGAGCCGUCUAAGGCAGGGCAGAUGACUGGGGUGAAGUCGUAACAAGGUAUC
RNAcentral lists this ribosomal RNA (236 nucleotides) under uncultured bacterium. RNAcentral describes it as "partial 16S ribosomal RNA". It matches the Rfam family "Bacterial small subunit ribosomal RNA", at positions 1269 to 1500 of the family's 1533-position model. The record is from RNAcentral.